Suricata suricatta (meerkat) is the source of this 262-nucleotide long non-coding RNA. RefSeq lists it as uncharacterized. The transcript is spliced from 2 exons. The record is from RefSeq and is a predicted model, not a curated record. NCBI's taxonomy places the organism in Eukaryota, Metazoa, Chordata, Mammalia, Carnivora, Herpestidae.
CAGGGAAAUGGCAGGAGUGGUGGGAGUGGAGGGAGGCUCCUCAACACCAGGAGGGGGCUGGUUGGAGUUCUGCAGGUGGAAGAGACCAGUCUGAAACGGACCAGAGAUGAGCAACAGAGGGAGAUGAAAUUUCCGAUGGUGUCUCAGUUCUGGUAUCCAGCUGUUCCUGAAACCCAGCCAAGCCCCGCCUUUAAUAAUAGCAGGAGCAGCAGCAACAACAAACAUUUACUGAAUGCCUGUAAUAAAUCCCACCUUUUGCUAA